GAGCAAACAGGAUUAGAUACCCUGGUAGUCACGCUGUAAACGAUGUCGAUUUGGAGGUUGUUCCCUUGAGGAGUGGCUUCCGGAGCUAACGCGUUAAAUCGACCGCCUGGGGAGUACGGCCGCAAGGUUAAAACUCAAAUGAAUUGACGGGGGCCCGCACAAGCGGUGGAGCAUGUGGUUUAAUUCGAUGCAACGCGAAGAACCUUACCUACUCUUGACAUCCAGAGAAUUUAGCAGAGAUGCUUUAGUGCCUUCGGGAACUCUGAGACAGGUGCUGCAUGGCUGUCGUCAGCUCGUGUUGUGAAAUGUUGGGUUAAGUCCCGCAACGAGCGCAACCCUUAUCCUUUGUUGCCAGCACGUUAUGGUGGGAACUCAAAGGAGACUGCCGGUGAUAAACCGGAGGAAGGUGGGGAUGACGUCAAGUCAUCAUGGCCCUUACGAGUAGGGCUACACACGUGCUACAAUGGCGUAUACAAAGAGAAGCGACCUCGCGAGAGCAAGCGGAACUCAUAAAGUACGUCGUGGUCCGGAUUGGAGUCUGCAACUCGACUCCAUGAAGUCGGAAUCGCUAGUAAUCGUAGAUCAGAAUGCUACGGUGAAUACGUUCCCGGGCCUUGUACACACCGCCCGUCACACCAUGGGAGUGGGUUGCAAAAGAAGUAGGUAGCUUAACCUUCGGGAGGGCGCUUACCACUUUGUGAUUCAUGACUGGGGUGAAGUCGUAACAAGGUAACCA
Molecule: ribosomal RNA, 736 nt
Filed under: uncultured Providencia sp.
Lineage: Bacteria; Pseudomonadati; Pseudomonadota; Gammaproteobacteria; Enterobacterales; Morganellaceae
Description: bacterial SSU rRNA
Rfam family: Bacterial small subunit ribosomal RNA
Source: RNAcentral